Long non-coding RNA from Juglans microcarpa x Juglans regia, 212 nucleotides. RefSeq lists it as uncharacterized. The transcript has 3 exons. The record is from RefSeq and is a predicted model, not a curated record. Lineage: Eukaryota; Viridiplantae; Streptophyta; Magnoliopsida; Fagales; Juglandaceae.
GUGUGUAUGUAAUUUCUCAGUUUUAUUAAUAAAGUUGUUGUAAUUGUAUUUUGUAAACUGUCAUUUCUGUUGUAACUGUUGAUUGUAAUGAUCUGUUGGAUUUGGGCCAUGGGCCUUUAAAGCGUUGGGUUGUAACUGUUGUAAUUGUUGGAAUUGGGCCUUGGGCCGUUAAAACAUUAGGUUUAAUUUAGGAUUUGAUUUAGGGUUUAGGA